RNAcentral lists this ribosomal RNA (367 nucleotides) under uncultured bacterium. Its description in RNAcentral is "bacterial SSU rRNA". It matches the Rfam family "Bacterial small subunit ribosomal RNA", at positions 329 to 711 of the family's 1533-position model. The record is from RNAcentral.
AGCCAGACUCCUACGGGAGGCAGCAGUGGGGAAUAUUGGGCAAUGGGCGCAAGCCUGACCCAGCAACGCCGCGUGAAGGAAGAAGGCUUUCGGGUUGUAAACUUCUUUUGUCAGGGACGAAGCAAGUGACGGUACCUGACGAAUAAGCCACGGCUAACUACGUGCCAGCAGCCGCGGUAAUACGUAGGGAGCGAGCGUUGUCCGGAAUUACUGGGUGUAAAGGGAGCGUAGGCGGGGAUGCAAGUUGGGUGUCAAAACCACCGGGUCAACUGGUAGUCGCACUCCAAACUGGAGGUCUUGAGGGAAGGAGAGGCAGGCGGAAUUCCUAGUGUAGCGGUGAAAUGCGUAGAUAUUAGGAGGAACACCA